Caenorhabditis elegans is the source of this 71-nucleotide non-coding RNA. The record is from Ensembl. Lineage: Eukaryota; Metazoa; Nematoda; Chromadorea; Rhabditida; Rhabditidae.
AAAAUCGAAAAGUCAUAGACAGUACAAGCCGAGAGGAUAGAGGAGGUAAAAGCAAAAUAGGUCAGGGUGAC